AAUCAACGCUGGCGGCGUGCCUCAGACAUGCAAGUCGAACGCGAAAGUCCCCUUCGGGGACGAAGUAGAGUGGCGCACGGGUGAGUAACACGUAGGUAAUCUACCUUCGGAUGGGGAAGUAACAACCGGAAACGGUUAGCUAAUACCGCAUAAUGCAGCGGCACCUAAUGGUGACAGUUGUUAAAGCGGGGAGUCGAAAGACCUCGCGUCUGAAGAGGAGCCUGCGGCGGAUUAGCAGUUGGUAAGGUAAUGGCUUACCAAGGCGACGAUCCGUAGCCGGCCUGAGAGGGCGGUCGGCCACACUGACACUGACAUACGGGU
RNAcentral lists this ribosomal RNA (321 nucleotides) under uncultured bacterium. Its description in RNAcentral is "bacterial SSU rRNA". It matches the Rfam family "Bacterial small subunit ribosomal RNA", at positions 32 to 331 of the family's 1533-position model. The record is from RNAcentral.